This 1188-nucleotide long non-coding RNA is filed under the name Numida meleagris (helmeted guineafowl). Its description in RNAcentral is "lncRNA (ENSNMEG00000000866.1)". Lineage: Eukaryota; Metazoa; Chordata; Aves; Galliformes; Numididae. The record is from RNAcentral.
UCCUUGCACGACAGCUGGGGUUGGCACAAGGCCUUUGCAUGACUGCCCGCUUUGCACAGGGCGGGCUUGCACGAUGGCCUUGCACGAUGUGGGGUUUGCAUGGGGGCCUUGCACGAUGGCCGGGUUUGCACGGGGGGGUCCUUGCACGACAGCCGUGUUGGCACGAGGGGUCCUUGCACGACGGCCGGGUUGCACAAAGGGCAUUUGCAUGACUGCCAGCUUUGCACAGGGGGUCCUUGCACAAUGGCCGGGUUUGCAUGAGAGGUCCUUGCACAACAGCCAGGUUUGCACAGGGGAUCCUUGCACAACUGCUGGGUUUGCACAAGGGGCCUUUGCACGAGUGUGGGGUUUGCACUGGUGUGUCCUUGCACAACUGCUGGGUUUGCACAAGGGGCCCUGGCACUGGGCUGCUGUGUGCACAGGGAGUCCUGGCACAGCUGGGGGGUCUGCACGAGGGCUCCUUGCACGACUGUGGGGUUUGCGCAAGGGCUCCUGGCACUGGGCUGCUGUGGGCACAAGGGCUCCUUGCACAACUGCAGUGUUAGCACGGGGGCUCCUUGCACCAUUCUGCUGUUGGCACAGGGUGUCCCAGUGCGAUUUCAGUGCUCGCACAGGGCAAGCUUGCACAAGAAUGGUGUGUGAACACAGACUGCCUGCACAAGUGUGGUGUUUGCACAAGGGAUCUUCACAUGAUUCUGUCUUUGGCACAAGGAAUCCUUGCACAAAUUCAGUGUUUGCACGGGGCUCCUUGCACAAUCCUGCUGCUUGCACGGGGCACCCUUACGCAACUGUGUUGUUUGCACAGGGAUCCAUACAUGAUUCUCCACUUUGCACGGGGGGAUCUUGCACAACUCUGUUGCUUGCACGAGGGGCCUAUUGCUCAUGUCGCCAUUGCACCACCAUGGUGCUUGCACGAGGGUCUUUGCACAAUUAUGACGCUUGCACCAGAACCUCGCGCUGCUGUGGCAGCGGUACAGGUGCCCUCGCACAAUGACUGUGAUUGCACGAGGGCCGCUUGCACGGCGGUGCUGGUGACACGAGGCUCUUGCACGGCACCAAUUGCACCAAUCACAGCGGCUCCUUGCACAACCGCGCAGCUCACGCGGCCAUCCUUGCACCAGGGACCUUUGCACGAUUUUUCACGCUCGCACGGGGCGCCUGCAUGGGGGGGAGGGGCCUUGCACUGCU